Balaenoptera ricei (Rice's whale) is the source of this 2672-nucleotide RNA transcript. It is a transcript of the gene named FAM20A golgi associated secretory pathway pseudokinase, with no coding region annotated. NCBI's taxonomy places the organism in Eukaryota, Metazoa, Chordata, Mammalia, Artiodactyla, Balaenopteridae. The transcript is spliced from 12 exons. The record is from RefSeq and is a predicted model, not a curated record.
GACCCGGCGUCACCCUCCUCCGGGGGCCGGGCGCGCACACCAGCUCGGCCCGCGGAGCCGGGGGCACGGGCGUCCCCGCCGCCCGCAGGAGGAGCCCGAGCGACCGCAUCCUCCGGAGAGACGCCCCGGGCUCCGCAGCCGCCCUCCCCCUCCUCCGAGAGGCGAGAGGCAAGCGCCGCCCGUCCCCGCGCCCCGAGCCUCCACCUGCCGCGGACUCCCGGGCGGCCGGGCGCGGGGCAGAGAAGGUGCGAGAAACAGGGGCCCGGGAGACAGCGGCCCCCGGGGACCGCUCCGCGCGGAGAGGGGACGCCCUUCCACGCCGCCAGCCCCCGCGCGUCCGGCGCCCCGGCCCCGAGUUCAAGGGCCACCGCCCUCGGAGGGGGCUCUCCGCGCGGGGAGCGCCCCGGCCCCGCGGACCCCGGCCCGUCCCGGGGCUCCGGCGCCUCGCCCCCCCCACCCCCCCGCGGCGGGGCCAUGCCGGGGCUGCGCCGGGACCGCCUGCUGACCCUGCUGCUGCUGGGCGCGCUGCUGGCCGCCGACCUCUACUUCCACCUCGGGCCCCGGGUGCGGCGCCGGCUGCGGCCCCGGGAGCGCCCGCCCGGCUGCCCGUGCGCCCGCCGCGCCGCCCCCUCGGCCCCCCGGCCGGCCGCGCGCCACGUUCCCCCGGCCGAGCCGGACGGCGGCGGCCCCGGCUCCAAGCUGCGGGCCCUCUUCGCGCACCCGCUGUACAACGAGCCGGAGGAGCCGCCGCUGCUGGGGCCCGAGGACUCGCUCCUGGCCGGCCCCGAGGCGCUGCGCUAUUACCGGAGGAAGGUGGCCCGCUGGAACAGGCGACACAAGAUAUACAAGGAGCAGCUGAAUCUCACUUCCCUGGAUCCCCCGCUGCAGCUCCGCCUGGAGACCAGCUGGGUCCAGUUCCACCUGGGGAUCAGCCGCCACGGCCUGUACUCCCGGUCCAGUCCUGUCGUCAGCAAACUUCUCCACGACAUGAGGCACCUUCCCACCAUCAGCGCUGACUACAGUCAGGACGAGAAAGCCUUGCUUGGAGCCUGCGACUGCACCCAGAUCGUGAAGCCCAGUGGGGUCCACCUCAAACUGGUUCUGAGGUUCUCGGACUUCGGGAAGGCCAUGUUCAAACCUAUGAGACAGCUGCGAGAUGAAGAGACGCCCGAGGACUUCUUCUACUUCAUUGAUUUUCAGAGACACAACGCUGAGAUUGCAGCUUUCCACCUGGACAGGAUUCUGGACUUCCGACGGGUACCACCGACCGUAGGGAGGCUAGUCAAUGUCACCAAGGAAAUCCUGGAGGUCACCAAGAAUGAAAUCCUGCAGAGUGUUUUCUUUAUCUCUCCAGCCAGCAACGUGUGUUUCUUCGCCAAGUGCCCGUACCUGUGCAAGACGGAGUACGCCGUGUGCGGCAACCCGCACCUGCUGGAGGGCUCGCUGUCCGCGUUCCUGCCGUCCCUCAACCUGGCCCCCCGGCUGUCCGUCCCCAGCCCCUGGAUCCGCUCCUACUCGCUGGCGGGCAAAGAGGAGUGGGAGGUCAACCCUCUUUACUGCGACACGGUGAAGCAGGUCUACCCGCACAGCAGCAGCGGCCGUCUCCUCAACAUCAUCGACAUGGCCAUCUUCGACUUCCUGACGGGAAACAUGGACCGGCACCACUACGAGACGUUCAGCAAAUUUGGGGACGACGGCUUCCUGAUUCACCUGGACAACGCCAGGGGGUUCGGACGGCACUCCCACGACGAAAUCUCCAUCCUCUCGCCGCUCUCGCAGUGCUGCCGGUUAGAGGAAGUACUCAGGCCCCUGCCUGGCCAACACUUCUCCAGAGAAUCUCUGCCCUGCUUCUACACCUCUCCGGUGUUGCAGCCGAGCUGGUCAAGAUGGCCCACCUGCACAGCUGCAGGGUCCGGAGCUAAUUAGAAAUAUGUGGUCCACACGUAGCAGAAUGGUCUCUAUUUCCAGCUGGAAAACUCAGAGCAGAGCCUGAACUUCCUUUCUCCACUUCUUGGGGUAACUGACGUGUGCCUCCCUCCCUACCCCCUUCCUCUCCUCCCGAGUAGGAAAGGCAGGAGUUGUGUAUGACGAUGCGUGGACACCUAAGCUGCUUGCACAUCUGAGUCCAAGUCACAUUCCCACAUAAAAAGAAAUCAAACUCCUAAAGGCAAGGUUGGCCCUCCCCCACUUCCAGCCCUGAUUUUAGAAUCUGACACAGAGAAAUCAGAAUUACAAAGUCGAGCAGAAACAACUUGGAGCCCAGCGGUACCCGCGGCCUCUGAGACGGCACACAUCACCAUUUCACCUACUGGAAGCUUCUCUCGUUAGCUUUCAGUGUCCUUGAGAAGUCACUAUUACAUGGCACUUCCGUCCGGGUUCCCCGAGGAGCAUCCGAUGCUGUGGCGUCACAGCUGUUAGAGCACAGAUGCUUGGCGGGGCGACUUGGCCAAGGACCGCGAAGUCCUAGCCGUCACCCUUCAUCCACUCCCUUCUUACCGGGUUUGCACUAAAACGCGCCUGAGAAGACACUGGGGGCCAAGGCUGUCCAGACGUCAGCCCCCAGCACUGUCGGCGGGGAAGGAACUGCUGGCCCGAGCCGACUACAGACUCAGCGACGUAAUGAGGGAGUCGCUGCUGCAAGACCAGCUCACCCCUGUGCUCACAGAGCCGCA